UGUCUUUACUUUGGUCUGAUCAGCUUGGC
This 29-nucleotide non-coding RNA is filed under the name Mus musculus (house mouse). The record is from RNAcentral. Lineage: Eukaryota; Metazoa; Chordata; Mammalia; Rodentia; Muridae.